Molecule: ribosomal RNA, 819 nt
Filed under: Shewanella decolorationis
Lineage: Bacteria; Pseudomonadati; Pseudomonadota; Gammaproteobacteria; Alteromonadales; Shewanellaceae
Description: bacterial SSU rRNA
Rfam family: Bacterial small subunit ribosomal RNA
Source: RNAcentral
CGUGAGCGGCAGCACAAGGGAGUUUACUCCUGAGGUGGCGAGCGGCGGACGGGUGAGUAAUGCCUAGGGAUCUGCCCAGUCGAGGGGGAUAACAGUUGGAAACGACUGCUAAUACCGCAUACGCCCUACGGGGGAAAGGAGGGGACCUUUUGGCCUUCCGCGAUUGGAUGAACCUAGGUGGGAUUAGCUAGUUGGUGAGGUAAUGGCUCACCAAGGCGACGAUCCCUAGCUGUUCUGAGAGGAUGAUCAGCCACACUGGGACUGAGACACGGCCCAGACUCCUACGGGAGGCAGCAGUGGGGAAUAUUGCACAAUGGGGGAAACCCUGAUGCAGCCAUGCCGCGUGUGUGAAGAAGGCCUUCGGGUUGUAAAGCACUUUCAGUAGGGAGGAAAGGUUGUAAGUUAAUACCUUGCAGCUGUGACGUUACCUACAGAAGAAGGACCGGCUAACUCCGUGCCAGCAGCCGCGGUAAUACGGAGGGUCCAAGCGUUAAUCGGAAUUACUGGGCGUAAAGCGUGCGCAGGCGGUUUGUUAAGCGAGAUGUGAAAGCCCCGGGCUCAACCUGGGAAUUGCAUUUCGAACUGGCAAACUAGAGUCUUGUAGAGGGGGGUAGAAUUUCAGGUGUAGCGGUGAAAUGUGUAGAGAUCUGGAGGAAUACCGGUGGCGAAGGCGGNCCNCUGGACAAAGACUGACGCUCAGGCACGAAAGCGUGGGGAGCAAACAGGAUUAGAUACCCCUGGUAGUCCACGCCGUAAACGAUGUCUACUCGGAGUUUGGUGUCUUGAACACUGGGCUCUCAAGCUAACGCAUUAAGUAGA